Molecule: ribosomal RNA, 788 nt
Filed under: uncultured bacterium
Lineage: Bacteria
Description: bacterial SSU rRNA
Rfam family: Bacterial small subunit ribosomal RNA
Source: RNAcentral
UAGUUUGAUCCUGGCUCAGGAUGAACGCUAGCGGCAGGCUUAAUACAUGCAAGUCGAGGGGCAGCACGAAUAGCAAUAUUUGGUGGCGACCGGCAAACGGGUGCGGAACACGUACAGAACCUUCCUUUAAGUGGGGAAUAGCCCAGAGAAAUUUGGAUUAAUACCCCGUAAUAUUAUAAAGUGGCAUCACCUUAUAAUUAUAGAUUUAUCGCUUAGAGAUGGCUGUGCGGCUGAUUAGGUAGUUGGCGGGGUAACGGCCCACCAAGCCUGCGAUCAGUAACUGGUGUGAGAGCACGACCAGUCACACGGGCACUGAGACACGGGCCCGACUCCUACGGGAGGCAGCAGUAAGGAAUAUUGGUCAAUGGACGAAAGUCUGAACCAGCCAUGCCGCGUGAAGGAUGAAGGUCCUCUGGAUUGUAAACUUCUUUUAUCUGGGACGAAACAUUCCGAUUCUUCGGAACUUGACGGUACCAGAGGAAUAAGCACCGGCUAACUCCGUGCCAGCAGCCGCGGUAAUACGGAGGGUGCAAGCGUUAUCCGGAUUCACUGGGUUUAAAGGGUGCGUAGGUGGGUCUGUAAGUCAGUGGUGAAAUCUCCGGGCUUAACCCGGAAACUGCCAUUGAUACUAUAGGUCUUGAAUUUUCUGGAGGUAAGCGGAAUAUGUCAUGUAGCGGUGAAAUGCUUAGAUAUGACAUAGAACACCAAUUGCGAAGGCAGCUUACUACAGGAACAUUGACACUGAGGCACGAAAGCGUGGGGGAUCAACAGAUUAGAUACCCUGGUAG